RNAcentral lists this non-coding RNA (28 nucleotides) under Rattus norvegicus (Norway rat). The record is from RNAcentral. Lineage: Eukaryota; Metazoa; Chordata; Mammalia; Rodentia; Muridae.
AAUUUCAGUCCCUCUUGGUGGAAAAUGG